RNAcentral lists this ribosomal RNA (1133 nucleotides) under Klebsiella pneumoniae. RNAcentral describes it as "bacterial SSU rRNA". It matches the Rfam family "Bacterial small subunit ribosomal RNA", at positions 1 to 1125 of the family's 1533-position model. The record is from RNAcentral. Lineage: Bacteria; Pseudomonadati; Pseudomonadota; Gammaproteobacteria; Enterobacterales; Enterobacteriaceae. RNAcentral also lists the same sequence under 3 other names.
AAAUUGAAGAGUUUGAUCAUGGCUCAGAUUGAACGCUGGCGGCAGGCCUAACACAUGCAAGUCGAGCGGUAGCACAGAGAGCUUGCUCUCGGGUGACGAGCGGCGGACGGGUGAGUAAUGUCUGGGAAACUGCCUGAUGGAGGGGGAUAACUACUGGAAACGGUAGCUAAUACCGCAUAAUGUCGCAAGACCAAAGUGGGGGACCUUCGGGCCUCAUGCCAUCAGAUGUGCCCAGAUGGGAUUAGCUAGUAGGUGGGGUAACGGCUCACCUAGGCGACGAUCCCUAGCUGGUCUGAGAGGAUGACCAGCCACACUGGAACUGAGACACGGUCCAGACUCCUACGGGAGGCAGCAGUGGGGAAUAUUGCACAAUGGGCGCAAGCCUGAUGCAGCCAUGCCGCGUGUGUGAAGAAGGCCUUCGGGUUGUAAAGCACUUUCAGCGGGGAGGAAGGCGAUAAGGUUAAUAACCUUGUCGAUUGACGUUACCCGCAGAAGAAGCACCGGCUAACUCCGUGCCAGCAGCCGCGGUAAUACGGAGGGUGCAAGCGUUAAUCGGAAUUACUGGGCGUAAAGCGCACGCAGGCGGUCUGUCAAGUCGGAUGUGAAAUCCCCGGGCUUAACCUGGGAACUGCAUUCGAAACUGGCAGGCUAGAGUCUUGUAGAGGGGGGUAGAAUUCCAGGUGUAGCGGUGAAAUGCGUAGAGAUCUGGAGGAAUACCGGUGGCGAAGGCGGCCCCCUGGACAAAGACUGACGCUCAGGUGCGAAAGCGUGGGGAGCAAACAGGAUUAGAUACCCUGGUAGUCCACGCCGUAAACGAUGUCGAUUUGGAGGUUGUGCCCUUGAGGCGUGGCUUCCGGAGCUAACGCGUUAAAUCGACCGCCUGGGGAGUACGGCCGCAAGGUUAAAACUCAAAUGAAUUGACGGGGGCCCGCACAAGCGGUGGAGCAUGUGGUUUAAUUCGAUGCAACGCGAAGAACCUUACCUGGUCUUGACAUCCACAGAACUUUCCAGAGAUGGAUUGGUGCCUUCGGGAACUGUGAGACAGGUGCUGCAUGGCUGUCGUCAGCUCGUGUUGUGAAAUGUUGGGUUAAGUCCCGCAACGAGCGCAACCCUUAUCCUUUGUUGCCAGCGGU